CUAAAACUGGCUAGGCCCCUGCUUCUUUGAAACUUAUUUUUCUCAAGACUAUGUUAAAGAUGAAAGCAAAUUGCUUGGAAGACCAUCACAAAAGGAAAAAGAGCAAGUUAUUGCCUUUUUGUCUUUCUAUUUUGUAGAGAGGAGGCCUACGGAAAGACCCAUGGUAUCCUUGAAAAUCUUGGGAAUAGCUAAAACGGAUGUGAUUCAAGAUAUGCCGGCAUGGCCUGACUGCCACUUGUUCGAAGGCGAGGAGAACUGUAGAUACUUGGAUUGAAGACGGAGAUGCACUGGAUGGUUGAGUUGGAGAGCAAGAGUAUGAUAUUUGGACUCCAGAUGUGUUAAGGCUGCUCUCCAUCGCUGCAGAAAAGAACAAGAGAAGUAAGAUUUGUUGUGUUAUUAGUUUUUGACUAAAAAUAGAUUAAAGUUUUGAAUCAAAGCAACCAAACCCGUGUGUCAGAAGUUAGAUUGGAGUACCAUAAAGCUAGAUGGAACACAAGCACAGGUUUUAAUUUGGAUCAAUUAAAACUACCAAUACCACAUUGAAAGUUUUGUUGAA
This is a long non-coding RNA of Gossypium arboreum, 556 nucleotides long. RefSeq lists it as uncharacterized. Lineage: Eukaryota; Viridiplantae; Streptophyta; Magnoliopsida; Malvales; Malvaceae. The record is from RefSeq and is a predicted model, not a curated record. The transcript has 2 exons.